Molecule: ribosomal RNA, 962 nt
Filed under: uncultured organism
Description: bacterial SSU rRNA
Rfam family: Bacterial small subunit ribosomal RNA
Source: RNAcentral
AACGCUAGCGGCAGGCCUAACACAUGCAAGCCGAGAGGUAGUCUCUUUCGGGAGAACACGACCGGCGCACGGGUGAGUAACGCGUAUGCACCUACCUUUGGCACGGGGACAGCCCGGGGAAACCCGGAUUAAUACCCGGUAUAGUCUGUUAUACACCUGUAUAAAAGACGAGAGCUACGGCGGCCAAAGAUGGGCAUGCGUGCCAUUAGUUAGUUGGUAGGGUAACGGCCUACCAAGGCAUCGAUGGCUACGGGGUCUAAAAGGAUGAGCCCGCACACUGGUACUGAGACACGGACCAGACUCCUACGGGAGGCAGCAGUGAGGAAUAUUGGUCAAUGGGUGGAAGCCUGAACCAGCCAUGCCGCGUGCAGGAAGACGGCCUUAUGGGUUGUAAACUGCUUUUCUACGGGACGAACGGCUCUGACGUGUCAGAGAUUGACGGUACCGUAGGAAUAAGCAUCGGCUAACUCCGUGCCAGCAGCCGCGGUAAUACGGAGGAUGCGAGCGUUAUCCGGAUUUAUUAGGUUUAAAGGGUGCGUAGGCUGGGCAAUAAGUCAGUGGUGAAAGUCCGCGGCUCAACCGUGGGAUUGCCAUUGAAACUGUUGUUCUUGAGUACAGUCGAGGUAGGCGGAAUGUGUAAUGUAGCGGUGAAAUGCAUAGAUAUUACCCAGAACACCGAUUGCGUAGGCAGCUUACCAGCCUGGAACUGACGCUGAUGCACGAAAGCGUGGGGAGCGAACAGGAUUAGAUACCCUGGUAGUCCACGCCGUAAACGAUGAUCACUCGCUGUUGGCAAUAUAGAGUCAGCGGCUGAGCGAAAGCAUUAAGUGAUCCACCUGGGGAGUACGUCGGCAACGAUGAAACUCAGAGGAAUUGACGGGGGCCCGCACAAGCGGUGGAACAUGUGGUUUACUUCGAUGAUACGCGAGGAACCUUACCUGGGCUUACAUGUAGCCGGACGG